GCGGAUCUUCAUUAGCUUGCUUUUGAAGAUCAGCGGCGGACGGGUGAGUAACACGUGGGCAACCUGCCUGUAAGACUGGGAUAACUUCGGGAAACCGGAGCUAAUACCGGAUAAUCCUUUCCCUCACAUGAGGGAAAGCUGAAAGACGGUUUCGGCUGUCACUUACAGAUGGGCCCGCGGCGCAUUAGCUAGUUGGUGAGGUAACGGCUCACCAAGGCAACGAUGCGUAGCCGACCUGAGAGGGUGAUCGGCCACACUGGGACUGAGACACGGCCCAGACUCCUACGGGAGGCAGCAGUAGGGAAUCUUCCGCAAUGGACGAAAGUCUGACGGAGCAACGCCGCGUGAACGAUGAAGGCCUUCGGGUCGUAAAGUUCUGUUGUCAGAGAAGAACAAGUACCGGAGUAACUGCCGGUACCUUGACGGUACCUGACCAGAAAGCCACGGCUAACUACGUGCCAGCAGCCGCGGUAAUACGUAGGUGGCAAGCGUUGUCCGGAAUUAUUGGGCGUAAAGCGCGCGCAGGCGGUUCCUUAAGUCUGAUGUGAAAGCCCCCGGCUCAACCGGGGAGGGUCAUUGGAAACUGGGGAACUUGAGUGCAGAAGAGGAGAGCGGAAUUCCACGUGUAGCGGUGAAAUGCGUAGAGAUGUGGAGGAACACCAGUGGCGAAGGCGGCUCUCUGGUCUGUAACUGACGCUGAGGCGCGAAAGCGUGGGGAGCGAACAGGAUUAGAUACCCUGGUAGUCCACGCCGUAAACGAUGAGUGCUAAGUGUUAGAGGGUUUCCGCCCUUUAGUGCUGCAGCAAACGCAUUAAGCACUCCGCCUGGGGAGUACGGCCGCAAGGCUGAAACUCAAAGGAAUUGACGGGGGCCCGCACAAGCGGUGGAGCAUGUGGUUUAAUUCGAAGCAACGCGAAGAACCUUACCAGGUCUUGACAUCCUCUGACAACCCUAGAGAUAGGGCGUUCCCCUUCGGGGGACAGAGUGACAGGUGGUGCAUGGUUGUCGUCAGCUCGUGUCGUGAGAUGUUGGGUUAAGUCCCGCAACGAGCGCAACCCUUGAUCUUAGUUGCCAGCAUUCAGUUGGGCACUCUAAGGUGACUGCCGGUGACAAACCGGAGGAAGGUGGGGAUGACGUCAAAUCAUCAUGCCCCUUAUGACCUGGGGUACACACGUGCUACAAUGGAUGGAACCAAAGGGCCCGAAACCCCCAGGGCGAGCAAUCCCCUAAAUCCUUUCUCAGUUCGGAUUGAAGGGUGCAACUCC
This 1265-nucleotide ribosomal RNA is filed under the name Bacillus sp. (in: firmicutes). Its description in RNAcentral is "bacterial SSU rRNA". It matches the Rfam family "Bacterial small subunit ribosomal RNA", at positions 66 to 1314 of the family's 1533-position model. Lineage: Bacteria; Bacillati; Bacillota; Bacilli; Caryophanales; Bacillaceae. The record is from RNAcentral.